RNAcentral lists this ribosomal RNA (259 nucleotides) under uncultured bacterium. RNAcentral's name for it is "partial 16S ribosomal RNA". It matches the Rfam family "Bacterial small subunit ribosomal RNA", at positions 99 to 353 of the family's 1533-position model. The record is from RNAcentral.
CGCACGGGUGAGUAACGCGUAUGCGACCUGCCCGUUGCAGGGGGGAUAAUCGGGAGAAAUCCCGUCUAAUACCGCGUAACGCCGCGGGGCUGCAUGGCCCUGCGGCCAAAGGGAGCGAUUCCGGCAACGGAUGGGCAUGCGUGACAUUAGCUAGUUGGCGGGGCAACGGCCCACCAAGGCGACGAUGUCUAGGGGUUCUGAGAGGAAGGUCCCCCACACUGGUACUGAGACACGGACCAGACUCCUACGGGAGGCAGCA